GAUGAAGAACGCAGCGAAAUGCGAUAAGUAGUGUGAAUUGCAGAAUUCAGUGAAUCAUCGAAUCUUUGAACGCACAUUGCGCCCCUUGGUAUUCCAUGGGGCAUGCCUGUUCGAGCGUCAUUUGUACCUUCAAGCUUUGCUUGGUGUUGGGUGUUUGUCUCGCCUCUGCGUGUAGACUCGCCUCAAAACAAUUGGCAGCCGGCGUAUUGAUUUCGGAGCGCAGUACAUCUCGCGCUUUGCACUCAUAACGACGACGUCCAAAAGUACAUUUUUACACUCUUGACCUCGGAUCAGGUAGGGAUACCCGCUGAACUUAAGCAUAUCAAUAGCGGAGGA
Molecule: unclassified non-coding RNA, 336 nt
Filed under: soil metagenome
Description: partial contains 5.8S ribosomal RNA, internal transcribed spacer 2, and large subunit ribosomal RNA
Rfam family: 5.8S ribosomal RNA (bases 1-120)
Source: RNAcentral